ACUUUAUGACUCCAUCUUACAUAGAAAUACUUAAAUUAGCUUUAAAUUAAUUAACAUCAGUCAAAUAUCCUUAUCAGUAUAGAUUCAGCAGCAAAGAAUUCAGUGCAGAUUAACUUUCUGAAUUUGCUUUUCAGGCAAGCUUUGCAGUCUGUGCCAGGUUCUGUAGCUUCACUGCUGAACUGCCUGCAGUCCACCUAUGUAAAGUAUACCUUGAUGCAAUACAGUCAUGCCUUGCUGGUGAUGUAGCAGAGCGUGAGACCAUGAACCAGGCAACCAAAACCACCUGAGUUAAAAGAGUCCUGAUCAGCCAGUGAAGGAACUUCCUCUCUGCUGGAUAUGGUGUGUGGCCUCAUGUGCAAAAUGCAGAGGGAGCAAAAGAGAAGGCAGCACCACUCUAGCUGCAGUAAUGCAGAUACCAAAGAAAGGCUGAAGUCCAUGGCUCCCAUCCAUCUGGUGUGUCCCCUGGGAUUCCAACUCUGUCAGCUCCUGCUAUUUUCCAAUGAGAUGUUGUCCAAAAAGACCACAACAUACUGCACAAAGAGAUCCAAGGCCAAAAAAGGAGUACUUUGUCCAGGGCUCAAAGAGAUGUACCAUGCUUUUUCAGCAACCUGCGCAAUAUCAACUGAAUAAACCCCAUAAAAUUCUUUUUAGUAUGCAUGAAAGUAAAAACAGGACAAUUAAUGUGAAAAUGUCAAUACAAUGUGUAUUAUUUUGCUGUGUGGUUUG
RNAcentral lists this long non-coding RNA (726 nucleotides) under Junco hyemalis (dark-eyed junco). Its description in RNAcentral is "lncRNA (ENSJHYG00000011385.1)". The record is from RNAcentral. Lineage: Eukaryota; Metazoa; Chordata; Aves; Passeriformes; Passerellidae.